CAUUUGUCUUUUAAAUGAAGACUUGUAUGAACGGCAAAACCUCCUCCAACUGUCUCCCCUCCCAUCCUUCCAAAUUUCCUCCUGUGUGAAGAAGCACAGAUACACCAGAAAGACGAGAAGACCCUGUCGAGCUUUAACCACUAAGUGGGCCUUACCCUUUCAGGCACCACCCAAAGGUUUUGGUUGGGGCAACCACGGAGAAAAAACAUCCUCCAGAACGAAUAGAAGAAAGCUUUUCACUAUUAUUACGACUAAGAACCAGGAACUGGUAUUCGGAAAGAGUUACCGCAGGGAUAACAGCGUCAUCUCCUCUAAGAGUCCUUAUUGACGAGGAGGUUUGCGACCUCGAUGUUGGAUUGGGGCCCCCUUAGGGUGCAGAAGCUCUAAACGGGUAGACUGUUCGUCUAUUAAAGCCCUACAUGAUCUGAGUUCNAAACCGGAGAU
RNAcentral lists this ribosomal RNA (444 nucleotides) under Holothuria mammata. Its description in RNAcentral is "partial 16S ribosomal RNA". It matches the Rfam family "Bacterial large subunit ribosomal RNA", at positions 1966 to 2625 of the family's 2925-position model. The record is from RNAcentral. Lineage: Eukaryota; Metazoa; Echinodermata; Holothuroidea; Aspidochirotida; Holothuriidae.